GAUGAACGCUAGCGACAGGCCUAACACAUGCAAGUCGAGGGGCAUCAUGAUCCGUAGCAAUACGGGUUGAUGGCGACCGGCGCACGGGUGAGUAACGCGUAUGUAAUCUGCCGUCUACUCUUGGACAGCCUUCUGAAAGGAAGAUUAAUACAAGAUGGCAUCAUGAGUCCACAUGUUCACAUGAUUAAAGGUAUUCCGGUAGACGAUGGGGAUGCGUUCCAUUAGAUAGUAGGCGGGGUAACGGCCCACCUAGUCUUCGAUGGAUAGGGGUUCUGAGAGGAAGGUCCCCCACAUUGGAACUGAGACACGGUCCAA
RNAcentral lists this ribosomal RNA (315 nucleotides) under uncultured bacterium. RNAcentral's name for it is "bacterial SSU rRNA". It matches the Rfam family "Bacterial small subunit ribosomal RNA", at positions 28 to 334 of the family's 1533-position model. The record is from RNAcentral.